This 72-nucleotide transfer RNA is filed under the name Papilio xuthus (Asian swallowtail). It matches the Rfam family "tRNA". From Rfam's summary of the family: Transfer RNA (tRNA) molecules are approximately 80 nucleotides in length. Their secondary structure includes four short double-helical elements and three loops (D, anti-codon, and T loops). Lineage: Eukaryota; Metazoa; Arthropoda; Insecta; Lepidoptera; Papilionidae. The record is from Rfam by way of RNAcentral.
GUGUCGGUGGCUUAGGUGUCAAGCUCUUGACUUGCAACCUACAGGUCGUGGGUUCGAAUCCCGCCAUGUACC